Long non-coding RNA from Felis catus (domestic cat), 848 nucleotides. RefSeq lists it as uncharacterized. The transcript has 3 exons. Lineage: Eukaryota; Metazoa; Chordata; Mammalia; Carnivora; Felidae. The record is from RefSeq and is a predicted model, not a curated record.
CCAACAAAAUCCACUUGCGUUUCUAUGGAUGAGAUUUAAGUAAUGAAAGGUAACGAAAGGUGCAGGCGCCUAUAGAAUCAGAUGGCCAGGAUUGGUUCUCCAGAGAGUUACUUGGUUAUCUUACAGGUUUCCUGACUUUCUGGCACUUACCAGCACCUGACCUUCUUUGCCGUUUGCAAUUCAACUUGAGGGCAGAAACUGUGUUUUGUAACACCAUCUGCAAGCACAUAGCGAGUGCUCGGCAAAUGUUUGCUGCUGCCCUUUCCAGUGUCCAGGGUAAUUUGUAUUUCAGGAGAAGAUACAAAAGAGGUCAUUGCUGAGCCUAAAGAAAUAAAUUCUGACAGCCAAGGAGGAGGGGGCAUUUGUGGGAAGGAAAGGGCACCGGCAGGUUCAUCACUCGUUAAAUAACCAAGACCUCUGCGCACCCAGAAGCCUCAGCACCUCUUGGCAGCCCAAGCCCUGAGCGUCCCCAAAGGGACCUGACCAAAGGGAGUUGGUAGGGAAAGUUCUCUGGCUGAGGCUGUUCUGUGAUACCAUGUCAGGGAAUCAUGGAUUCCAUGCGCUGUUUUCUCAGCACUGAUGUGUAACUAUUACCAAUCAGGUACACUCACCACCUCGGUGUCCCAAAUCUUUGUAGGCCCUUCAUCAUGGAGCCACAGUUGACUGACUUCCCGCAGAGCUGAUCUCAGUUUCCAGCUCUUCCAGCGAGAGAAGAAGACAAAAGAUGUGCCAGAUACUCAAAGUCUUCUCAGUGAUUAACUGGAGGUGAAGGUGCAGCUUUGGAGACAUGUGUGUGCCGUGCAACAAAAUCAAUGAAUGAAUUAGUUGUGUGAUCAAAAAUAAAGAAA